Non-coding RNA from Cyanistes caeruleus (blue tit), 2198 nucleotides. Lineage: Eukaryota; Metazoa; Chordata; Aves; Passeriformes; Paridae. The record is from RefSeq and is a predicted model, not a curated record.
CGCCGAGCUCCCGCAGUCAGCGUGGGUGGAUGCCCGCAAGACGCUGCUAAUGCUAACGGGGACGGGGUGAGCCCCGGCGAGGGCGGAGGGACGGCUCGGCAGGGUCAAGGUAGCUGGUAGCAGCGCCCCGGCGCCUGCCGAGCGAGGCCGGCUGCGGGGCCCCGGGGUUUGGCUGCCCCUCGAACCCGUGCGAGCCUCGGGCUGCUGCUGCCAGCCCUUAUUUCCUAUAGGGAAAACGGGGAGAUGUCCUUGCGUCUCCUCUAAGGAGGGAUCUACACUGCCACGGCGUUUUAACUCGUUUUUAUUUUGGCCCUAAGGGCGAGGAGGGUGCAGGGAGGAGAUUUUGGCUUACGCAAGCGGAUCGACCGCUGUAUCGCUGUUGUAGGCGCGGAUGCUGUUUGCUUUUGCUGCUUGCUGGGCUGUGAAGUCCAGACUAACUUUUAGUCCUCUCGGUUUUUCCUUUUAUACCUUCUUCCACAGUCUCAUUCCACUCACCCUUUGCUAGUCUUUCUCUAACAUAUGUCCGAGUUUAUCUCUAAAUCAAAGAGUGAGCAUUUCUAUCAAAACAGCAUAUGAAUAGGCCAUAUGGCUGUUGGCUGAUUGUGUUUCCUCAGUAUAAUAUUUUUAAUACAUACUUUAUGUAAUGCAGACAUGCAGCCACAAGCAAUGACUGUGGGCAGACCCAUCCAAGUGCUUUCUUCAUUAGGCUUAGCAGUACAGUGAUUUUGCUCAGAAAUCCUUACAAGUCACUCCCAGGCAUCACUAAAGUUCAGCUUCAGAAUACGCAUGUCUGCCUUCCUAUGCAUUGACUUCACUUUUCACAGGAAGAACUGACUGGGUUUUUUUUAAGCCAUUUCUAACAAACUCUUCUUGAGUUCUCUACCUUACAUUGCUGAUGUGGGUUGUUUUUUACCUGGAUUAUCAGUCUAUUUCUAGUUACUUACCAAAACUAGGAAUGAGCCAACAGGUGACGUGUAUUUCGCAUAUGUUCUGUUUUAAAAGGAUUUAUGUACCUAGUUUUAUUCUGAGUUUGCUUUAUAGCAUCAUUUCAAGCUGUUGUGCUGAACUUUUACUCAUUGGGACAUUUGUAGACAGAAGAAUUUGCUUGCAUAAGUUCUUGAGUAUUUUGAAUUUAAAUUGCUUUGUGCUGUCAAAGUUCAUUUGAAACCACUUUGUGAGUGAAAUGUCCAAGUUAAACUUCAGUGAAGCUGUUUGUUGUCUGCUGAGAUUCUCUCUCUGAGUUAUCACAGGGGCUGGCUUGCAAGCAUUCACAAACAGGAACAACCUCAAAGCACAUCAGGGAUCUGCUCUGUGGCUCUUUGGUCCAUCCAUGAGCUAGCAGAUAUGUGUGCCCAGGGAGGGCCAUGCAGAUGGCUUCGGCUGCAAUCUGUCUGCUCCACAAGCAGAACACCUGUGUCUGGAUCCGGCUCCUCAGGAAGGUCAACAUCCCAUCUGUGUUUGGUGAAAUUACCUACUGGUUGAACUACUGCCUCUGUCGGAAAAACAAAGCUCUGUGUGUUGUGGUGUGUGGCUGUUUGUUUCUUUCCUUGCCUCCUGUGGCUACACAGAUGGGCUUUUAGGGCUGAUCCUGGGGAAAGCUUCAACAUCACCACAAGGAAUUUUGCAGGGAGAUGUUCCAAAUGGCUCCCUUUAUUGGCAGAUGGUCUGCUGCACCUAACUAGCUUUAUCUGGGUAAAUGGCUUAAUUAUCAGGAUGAAGUUUCUGGGUUUGUUUUGUUUUGUUUUUUUAUUUUUAUUCUGCCAUUCAUAAAUGUGUGAAUAAAAAUUAGUACAGUGCUCAGGGGAUAUACUAACUUAUACCCAUUAGAAUUUUUCAGUCACAGCUACUCGAGCAUCUAAUAGUGCAAACAAGCUCUUCAGUGAUUCCUGAGAUGAGAGGGGCCCUCUUGUGGGGAAUAUCGAAUGGAGAAGCUUCUGAGACACCUCAUCUUAUGGCUGCCCAUCCAUGAACAUAGGCAUGUCUCUGCCUGUGAGAGUUCCCCACGCGUGCUCGGGGCUGCUUUGGCCAGCUCUGUGCACAGGAAAACAAAUCUGCAUUCUAAGUGAUGUCAGUGCCAAGUGGCUUGUGAAAGCCGAACACUUGAGGUGUUCACUCUUUAACUGCUGAUGGGACUUUAUAUCUGUUGUUUGCUUAUCCUGGUAUUUUCUCCAUCUGAGAAUAAAUCAAAUUUCAUUUUA